GCGGCGAUAGCUCAGUGGGUGAGUAGAUGGAGAUUACUCCGAAUUAUCCGCGCGGGUUCGAAUCCCGCCUGUGGCA
Non-coding RNA from Aromia moschata, 76 nucleotides. NCBI's taxonomy places the organism in Eukaryota, Metazoa, Arthropoda, Insecta, Coleoptera, Cerambycidae. The record is from the annotation of a GenBank genome assembly.